CAUGAGUAAGUGCAUGUGAGCAUGUGCACACCUGUGCGUGUGCAUGUGCCUGUGAGCAUUGUGUGCGUGAUGGGAGCCAUGGGUGCUGUGUGGACAGCCCCUCUGCCCCUCCCAUGGGCUCCCGCGCCCAGCAUCCACUUGAGAGAGGAGGGAGCUGCCUUUGAAUUCUGCAGUCUGUGUGCUGAGGCCCCACAGAGGCAAGUGGAGGAGCUGGGAUGUGAACCUGGGACCCCAGGGUAGGGGGCUGCUUGGCUGUGGACCCUGCCCCUCAGGAAAGCCCAGGGUCCACCUCCAGAGUACUCGUUUUGGGGUGGGGGCAGGGACGGGGGCCUCCUCACCCGGGGCUUGAUGAGGGGCUGUCCAUUUCUUGGCUCGAGUGCUGCCAAGUGCUCCCUGCUGCUGCGCCCACCUUCCCGGGGAGAGGCGAGCCCCUGGCUCCCUGUGUUUGUGACCCACCCUGUCCACCAUCAGCAGCUGGCUUGUCUCUGGGUGGCUGGACACCAGCCUCCUGGAGGCCACGUGCCUGGGUCCACAUGGAGGGUCCUGGUGGGGGCAUCAUCCUGGGUCCGGGGAGUGAGGCUGGCAGGUGAGCAGUCAGGCUGUGGCUAGGGCAGUUGCCCAUCGGGGGUGUCAAGGCCGGGGGGAUCAAAGCUCCGGAAGCUCAAGGGGGCUCUGGCCUUGGGGACGAGUUGAGUAUCCAGCUGGCAGCCAGGUCCUCGAGGGAAGGGGUUGGGACAGAAUCCGAGGCCCCCUGAGCUGAUGGGUCCCCUGUCUCCCCUGCCAGCCCUGACCCACUGGACAGCCCUGACCCACUUUCCAGUCCAGAGAGCUCCUUGUCUGCGUCCCCAGCAGAAGGUGGGUGGCUCCUGCCUCACCCUCUGCCCAGCGCUGAUCCAGGCCACAGCCAUCUAGGGCCCUGGAAGGAGGGGCAGGAGGCAGGGGUGGCUUCUGGAACCUGAGGGUUGGCUCCGGUUGGGUCUGUCCUUGGGGGCUGCACUGCUGGAUCCCAGGAGCUGGUCUGGAACAGCCCCAUGGCCAGGGUGACGGAAAUCCUCGGCUGCAUGCAGACACAGACCCACCCCGGACUGGGCUGUCCCGGGAGCCCAGACACAUCACCCUGCGAAGGGGCAGCUGGGCCUGGAGUGUGCUGGGCAGGGGCUGGGGGCCCUGGUCGUGGGCUCUCCACGGUCCCUCAGGGGGUUGGGCCUCUCCCCAGGCAGGAAGGCGGGAAGGGCAGGCAUGACCCGGGGUUCCUGAGGCGGGUCCACCAAGUUGCUUCUGAGACGCCUUUGCUUCUCUCCUGGCUGUCUGUUAAUGAUAUCCCUGUUCUAAUUCCACUCUGGCUAAACUGAAAGUAAAGAUCCUUAAGCUUA
Molecule: RNA transcript, 1373 nt
Organism: Nomascus leucogenys (northern white-cheeked gibbon)
Lineage: Eukaryota; Metazoa; Chordata; Mammalia; Primates; Hylobatidae
Exons: 1
Source: RefSeq, a predicted model, not a curated record